UACGUAGGGUGCGAGCGUUAAUCGGAAUUACUGGGCGUAAAGCGUCCGCAGGUGGUCGUGCAAGUGCCGUGUGAAAGCGCUCGGCUUAACUGAGCGAGGCCAUGGCAGACUGCUCGACUCGAGACCGGGAGAGGUCGGUGGAAUUGCCGGUGUAGUGGUGAAAUGCGUAGAGAUCGGCAGGAACACCCAAGGGGAAGCCAGCUGACUGGCCCGGUACUGACACUCAGGGACGACAGCGUGGGGAGCGAACCGG
RNAcentral lists this ribosomal RNA (253 nucleotides) under uncultured bacterium. Its description in RNAcentral is "partial 16S ribosomal RNA". It matches the Rfam family "Bacterial small subunit ribosomal RNA", at positions 524 to 776 of the family's 1533-position model. The record is from RNAcentral.